CUUUCGGUUGAAAUUAUUUAUUUUUUUUAUAUUUUUUGUUUGCUACUGCAUAUUUUUUUGGAUCUGAUAGGCUUUGAAGUGAUUCAUCAGCGUAGUAUGAUGCAAAAAAUAAAAUUUUAAUAAAAAAAUUAUAUAAAUUUUAAUAAAAAAAUAUUUUAAAAUUUAACUUUAGGUCUAUCUAUAUAUUGAGAAGCCCAAA
Molecule: long non-coding RNA, 199 nt
Filed under: Elaeis guineensis (African oil palm)
Lineage: Eukaryota; Viridiplantae; Streptophyta; Magnoliopsida; Arecales; Arecaceae
Description: long non-coding RNA (EGUI_LNC011208)
Source: RNAcentral